AGGACGAACGCUGGCGGCGUGCUUAACACAUGCAAGUCGAGCGGAAAGGCCCUUCGGGGUACUCGAGCGGCGAACGGGUGAGUAACACGUGAGUAAUCUGCCCCUAGCUCUGGGAUAGCUCCGGGAAAACCGGGAUUAAUACCGGAUAUGACCACUUUAGACAUCUGCUGUGGUGGAAAGAAUUUCGGCUAGGGAUGAGCUCGCGGCCUAUCAGCUUGUUGGUGGGGUAACGGCCUACCAAGGCGACGACGGGUAGCCGGCCUGAGAGGGCGACCGGCCACACUGGGACUGAGACACGGCCCAGACUCCUACGGGAGGCAGCAGUGGGGAAUAUUGCGCAAUGGGCGAAAGCCUGACGCAGCGACGCCGCGUGGGGGAUGAAGGCCUUCGGGUUGUAAACCCCUUUCAGCAGGGACGAAGCGAAAGUGACGGUACCUGCAGAAGAAGCGCCGGCUAACUACGCGCAGCAGCCGC
This 474-nucleotide ribosomal RNA is filed under the name uncultured bacterium. RNAcentral's name for it is "SSU rRNA". It matches the Rfam family "Bacterial small subunit ribosomal RNA", at positions 26 to 518 of the family's 1533-position model. The record is from RNAcentral.